UAAGGAAUAUUGGUCAAUGGAGGCAACUCUGAACCAGCCAUGCCGCGUGCAGGAAGACGGCCCUCUGGGUUGUAAACUGCUUUUGUACGGGAAUAAACCUCCGAUCGUGAUCGGAGCUGAAUGUACCGUAAGAAUAAGGAUCGGCUAACUCCGUGCCAGCAGCCGCGGUAAUACGGAGGAUCCAAGCGUUAUCCGGAUUUAUUGGGUUUAAAGGGUGCGUAGGCGGCCUGUUAAGUCAGAGGUGAAAGACGGUAGCUCAACUAUCGCAGUGCCUUUGAUACUGAUGGGCUUGAAUGGACUAGAGGUAGGCGGAAUGUGACAAGUAGCGGUGAAAUGCAUAGAUAUGUCACAGAACACCGAUUGCGAAGGCAGCUUACUAUGGUCCUAUUGACGCUGAGGCACGAAAGCGUGGGGAUCGAACAGGAUUAGAUACCCUGGUA
Molecule: ribosomal RNA, 440 nt
Filed under: uncultured bacterium
Lineage: Bacteria
Description: bacterial SSU rRNA
Rfam family: Bacterial small subunit ribosomal RNA
Source: RNAcentral